UACGACAAGUAUAGAUAAAAAAUUAAUAAAAUACCAUGUUAUAAAGACAAAGAAUAAAUACAUGCAUCAGAUGAGAUCAAAAUACUGCCCCAUAUGCUGCAUCCAAUGUUCUUUUCAUCAAGUUCUCGUCUCCUUGAUGAAUCAAUGAUCAUCAAUUUACUCAAUCCUCCCACGACUUGCAAAACACAUCUGCUAGUAUUAGAAUUUGAAAUAUACAGAAUAUUAAGCAUGAAAAGUUGGACAAAUUAAAUAAGUUAGCUUGUACCUUUUUCUAACCGAAUGAUAUAUAUUUGGUGCUUCCCAGCCUCUUAACUGAAGAUUGACCCGCAGAUGCCAUGUCUAUUUCUCCCUGGCAGCAACUUCAACAGGUCAGCAGCAAGGAAACUGCAUUCUUUAGCAAAUUAUAGUUGCGUACAGCAAAGGCCAUGGCCCGGUGCCCAGCAGCAGCUAGCAAGCACGCACACGAGCACACCACAAGUACGUACACACAGACACACACAGCAACAGGCACGCACGCCGCACGCGGAAGCAAGAGCACACACAGCCAACACACAAGCAAACGCGGGAGGACCGGACGCGAGGAUAGCAGGGAAUGGAGAAGGUGGACGGGAUACCUUGAUGGCGGCGUCGGAGACUCCAAGCACCAGCGAGACAAAUCCAUGGGGCGGUUCCAAACGCUAGCGAGCGAAUCCAGGUAGUGGCGGCAGUGGCAGCAACUCCGCAGCGUACUCGUACGGUCACUGGCGAAUCCUACAUCAAAUCUGCUGCACAACAAAUUGUGUGAGAGAGUAAUGGCUGACCAAAUCGCCGAGCAGCCAAAAAAGAACCACGACACGCGUGCGGAGCGGCACCAUAAAACACCAGAUGAAGAACGAAAGAAAUCACGGCUAGCCGAACAGCCAAGACCAGCCACACGUAGAGAGAGAGUCGGGCUGUAGGCUGGCGACCCGAACGACGGCGGACGGCCGUGCACCCUACCAGCAGACUCCCGCCGGGGCCGUGGGUGUUACCGUCCAUCAGCGACCUGUACCACCUCGCCGGCGCCCUCCCGCACCGUAACAGAGACCAAACGAACAGGAAGGACACAA
Molecule: long non-coding RNA, 1088 nt
Filed under: Triticum aestivum (bread wheat)
Lineage: Eukaryota; Viridiplantae; Streptophyta; Magnoliopsida; Poales; Poaceae
Description: long non-coding RNA (TAES_LNC014805)
Source: RNAcentral